UCAGUGAGAAAUCCUGACAUUCGAUUAAAUUAUUUUUUUCCCCUUAAGUUAAAACAAAAAAUAGUAGGAAACUGGGUGCGGAGUGGAAGGUGCAUCUUCAGUGAAAACCCAACAGUUCUUUAAUGGCGGAUUAAGCUGUUGGAGGAAAUCCAGAGGAGGGUCACGAAGCUGAUAAGAGAACUGGAGCAUCUCCCCUUCAAAGACAGGCUGAGAAAGUUGGGGCUGUUCAGCCUGGGGAAGAGGAGGUUGCGUGGAGACCUCAUAGGAACCUUUCAGUAUCUGAAGAGGACCUACAUGGAAGCUGGAGAGGACCUCGUCGUCAAGAAAUGCAAUGAUAGAACAGGGAAUAAUGGGUACAAAUUGAAAGGGGAAAUUUAGGUUAGAUAUUAGAAAGAAAUUUUUUACUGUGAGAGUGGUAAGACACUGGAACAGGUUGCCCAGGGAGGUUGUGGAUGCCCCAACUCUGGCAGUGUUCAAAGCCAGGUUGGAUAAGACCUUGAGCAACGUGGUCUAGUGCGGUGUCCCUGCCCAUGGCAGAGGAUUUGAGACUAGAUGAUCUUUAAGGUCUGUUCCAGCCCCUUAACAUUCUAUGAUUCUAUGGUUACAUUUACUCCAGGGCCAGGGAAGAAAGAGAGUCAUUGAUGAUCUCCCUUCGUGAGAUAUCACCAUACCCAGUGGCCAUUUGUACUUUUCUGUACAACUCUGGCGUAAACUCUGAGCAAGUUUCAUCCUGGUCACUUCCAGCUAUAACUGUGCCUUGAAGAUGUUUGAGAGAUAAAACAAUAGGCACAAGCAGUACAGGGAAGGCAGAAAGAACAUGGGGUGAAUUCAAGAGCCAUAAUUCAACAGUCAGCAAACAAAGGGCAUGAUGCCAGACAAGUUCAGCCAUAAAGGAGCCUUGUCUUGGGGGCAGGCUGUGAUUGUUUGUGGACA
Lepidothrix coronata (blue-crowned manakin) is the source of this 933-nucleotide long non-coding RNA. RefSeq lists it as uncharacterized. Lineage: Eukaryota; Metazoa; Chordata; Aves; Passeriformes; Pipridae. The transcript is spliced from 3 exons. The record is from RefSeq and is a predicted model, not a curated record.